RNAcentral lists this unclassified non-coding RNA (376 nucleotides) under uncultured bacterium. RNAcentral describes it as "contains 16S-23S intergenic spacer region". The record is from RNAcentral.
UCCCCGUUAUCCUGGGCAGUCUCUCCAGAGUGCCCAACCUAAUGAUGGCAACUAAUGGCAAGGGUUGCGCUCGUUGCGGGACUUAACCCAACAUCUCACGACGCGAGCUGACGACAGCCAUGCAGCACCUGUCACCGACCAAUUGAAGAGCUCCGUCUCCGGAGCCCCGAUCGGGAAGUCAAGGGCUGGUAAGGUUCUUCGCGUUGCCUCGAAUUAAGCCACAUGCUCCGCCGCUUGUGCGGGCCCCCGUCAAUUCCUUUGAGUUUUAGCCUUGCGGCCGUACUCCCCAGGCGGGGUGCUUAAUGCGUUAGCUUCGGCACGGAAAGGGUUGAAGGCCUCCCCACACCUAGCACCCAACGUUUACGGCUGGGACUAC